GCAACAUUUUGGAGGUGGUCAGGUGUUUUACUUGGUAACAAACCUAGAGGCACUUGACCACUGAGCACGUCCUCAGCCCUUCCUUUAUAUAAUGUAACUAUUUAUUUUUAUUUUUAUUUUGUAUAGUUUUAGAGGGGCAGAAUACCUUAAUUUUGUUAAUUUAUCUGUGGUGCUAAGGAUCAUACCCAGUGCCUCAUACAUGCUAGCAAGCGCUCUGCCACUCAGCUACAAUCCCAGUCCCCCCAUUUAUUGUUGAUGACGACCAAGUUUCACAAAAUUUCUGGAUGUCUUGCUAAAUUGCAGAGAGAGCCUCCAACUUGCCAGUUCCAUGCCUUGACCUCCCUAGUGGCUGAAAUUACAGGUGCACACCACCACACCAGCAGUCGGAAUAUCUUUUAAAGCUUUAUCUUCCAGGGGUUGGGAUUGUGGCUCAGAGAAAAAGCGCUCACCUAGCAUGCGUGAGGCCUUGAGUUCUAUCCUCAGCACUACAUAAAUAUUAAAUAAAAAAAUUGUACCCAC
Molecule: long non-coding RNA, 519 nt
Filed under: Marmota monax (woodchuck)
Lineage: Eukaryota; Metazoa; Chordata; Mammalia; Rodentia; Sciuridae
Source: RNAcentral